AUGCUGGAAGCUCAGCCUGUUCAGGCACCUGUUAUAGUCCCGGCUUGGUCCAGCCUGUCCUCCUCUCCAUCAGGUUCUUCCUGCUCUUGCUGAGCCCCGGCUCUCAGCAGGCUCUGUCCUCCCCAAAUCUCCUUCCAGCUUUCGCAGGCAGUCGGGCAGGACCCAGGGGAGACUCUGAUGUGGGGCUGUGCUGGCCACGAUGCAGCUCCCUGUGGGGAAGUGAUCGGAGCGACUCCUGAUACCCGAAGUUACCUAUUCGGAGUCAGCGGUAUGAAAAGAGCAGCACCAUAUCUUUUCAUAAAAGCGCUGCCUCUGACAUGGAGCUCUGAACCUCACAGGGAGUCGUAGCAGAGCUCUUCAUGGCUGCAUUCCCCUGAAGAGAAGGGGUAUUUUUAUAGUGACCUCUGUCAUCUACUACUAGUGCUCCCUGGAGAAUAGAUGGUCACAAAAGUGCACCGUGUUUCUAGGCACAUAUGGCAUCAGACACUCGAGCCCAUGCGCUGCCCAUGCAAGUAUUCCCAUUACUUCAAAUGAGCGGCCUAAAAUAAGUAUGGUACAGGCAGCAUUGACAAACCUCAUCUGCUGACCACACGUUACCACCCUCCGCUCAGCGACAGCAAGCCAGCCACCCCAGAAGCAGCUACCAUCUCCCCAGCUUUGUCUGCAGCAGCAUCACAGAUCAAAGGCCAGGAGCGGUUCCCAGGAAGCAGAGCGGCACAGUGAAACUGAGAUCAUUAUGUUGACUGAAUUUCUUACCGCCGGACUUGCCCCACCAUGAAAUAGCACUGCUCAGCCAAUUGGGAUUCAUGGUCACAGCCCUUCAUGGGAUCAUCAGGGUUUAUAGUCCAUAACAAAUACAAAUACAGAAAGGAACAAUAACAGUAUGAUACAUCUGACCUGUUAUUCCGCCUUGCGAGACUUUGUGGUGAGUACCAGAGUAGUGACUGGCUGCGUGUUUUCUGUCGUGCAGACGAAUGGGACAGUCACGUAGGAAAGAGAAACCGUGCCUCAAACACAGCGCUGUUGGCGUGGGCUUCAGUGACUAAAAGCCGUCUUUAGGCUUACAGCACGUUGUUCAUGAUUUAUGUAAAACACUGGCGCGUGGGGGAGCUUAGGAGGUUUGCUGGGAGCAUCUGAACACUGCAGAAGUGUUUGGUUAAAGAAAUGACUGAAGUCGGUUCUGCAGAGCGCUUCAGAAGAUGCUUGAAAUCCCAGCAGGUCACCCCUUUCAAAGCAGCAAAUUCGACCAUCUACAUACCACCAAAAUGCAAGAGCAAACUCAAGCAUAAAGACAAACAGUCAGCACCACCUCUGUUUGCAAGUCAGCUGCUCUGUGCUGCACAAUGCGACUGAUCCUUACGUACUUUAUGUCAAUAUAACAUGUCUUAUGAAACACAGAGAUUCCCUGUCAUCGAGAGAUCUAGUCUACCUACAGCACCGUCACGGUUGUCUGCCCAGAUUAAUCGCAGGGGCUGGCGAUGGAUGUAGGACGAUAGAUCAAUUCUUUCUGUACCCCAAAGGUAAAAUAAGAAAUGGUGACCUGAAACGCAGACGAAGAGGAAACGAUGAGGGCUCGAUGUCUCUAAGCCCUGUGCUAACCUGUGUGAACCAGCAGAUUGUGUCACCUCUUUGGGACCUGCUCGUGUGUAUUUUAGAUCAUACUUUGUGAUAGGUGGAGGUGGAUGUUUAUGUAGGCAAGAAGAAAACUAGUACAAAUCUGUGCCAGUUGACAAUCCAAAAGUUUACUCAGACUUGCUUUGUUUCGUCUCUGUCUUCUCUGCUGAGCCUGCAGUUGUUCAGGGAUGCUCAUGUUUUCUAGGUAUCAGACAAUUCCGGAAUCAAGGACCUCAAGUCACGUUUCAUCUUUUAGUUUCCCUGAAAACAUUUAUUUACAUGUUGAAGUUACUGGAUGUAUGUUCUGACAAAGUAACCAUAUAUAAACUUCUCAUGGAGAUCAGCUGGGACUUCGUGGCAGAAAUCUCAUUUAAAACAACUGGAAAUGACUUCACCUUGGCCCAAGUCACAGCGUAACAGCCACCUCCUCCUCCUCCAACCCUGCUAAACCAUCUGCCUCCUGCCUUCCUUCACAAGACCCUCUUACAUUUCUUUAGGAUCCAGGAGCUUGUACUGAUUUAGGACGCUCACUGAAUCUCUUCAGCAGCACAGGCUAUGAUAAAUGCAUCAAACAUCACCUCUACUCUUUGCACUGGCUUGCUGUGAAAUUUAAAACCAAACUCCGGCUUGCAGUCCUUAUCUUGGAGACGCUUUGCGGCCCGGUCCCGGUGCAGAUGAAGGCUGCUCAAAGCUUGGCGGUGGAGACCCUGCCCGCGGCACGUUGCCUGUGUGGUGCUAGGCACGGCUCUGCCGGCAGCACGACACGGUUUGUGGCAGGGGUGAAGCUUCCUUCUGCAGAAGGCAGGGAGGAAUAAUCGCCCCACCCAAAACCUGGAUCUAAGCUCUGCUCCCUGGUGAGGUGCUGCCUGGUGGUGGCACUUUGAUUCGGUUGCCUCCUGCGCUUCCACAUCACUGGCAUUGCUUGCAAUGGCAUUAAAAGCUGUGAGUUACUCCACUGUGACCUAAUGCCGGGACCUUUUCCCUGCCAUGCUUCUCCUUAUCUCUCCUGCAGCACCUGGGGAUGGCACAGGACUAAUUUGGAGUUUCUUCUUCAUUCUCCUGGUGGGUGAUGGACUUGCCCCUCCUUGGAGAGGUUCUCUCCCUGACUCUGCAUAACCUCAAAACCAGGAUCAUCAUGGAAAUUAUCUACUCUUCUGUCCCGCCUCAGCAUCUUGAAAGAGACCUUGGAAACUGUAUCUCCCACAAGAACGGUAUUUCCAAAUCCACUGCAAAAAAUGGCUUAUUCUGAAUUGAAUACUCUCUCCUCUAUUUAUGGAUGUUCCGUUCUGGAAAUGUAUAGGAGGGAAGGGCAAUUGUGUCAUCCCCAGUUUUGCCUCACAGGAAACAUGGAUGCCCAUAAACUCUUUUCCUCUGAUGAAAAUGAUGUGACCUGGAGACCUCAGCUAUCCACAAGGCUGACCGGUGUUUAAGGUCCUUUGACUUUUGUCCUUGAAAUAGGAAAGGGUGAAAAUGCAGAAAAAACAUUUUACAAUCAUGAAAACCAUCAUAGUUACUUUUUUCUCUGUAAUAUAGAGUGACCGUUGGUACUUAUGGCAUAUCAAUAAUGCAUCUGGCUGGGGAUGCUGCUCUUGGCAGACACUGCGGUGGCCUUCCUCUGAAAGAUAAAUGAGAAGCUCAGCUUGUCUUACCCAACAUGGACAAGCAGACUAGGACACUUUUCCUUAUUUCACAGUAAAUAUAUAAAUUACUGUAUUUGAGUUUGGCCAGAGAAGGUUGCUAUGGAGAAGUUUGGCUUAGAGUAUCUUGGGCUCCAAUCGUAGUCAACCAAAUUAAUGGAAUGUCCCAGUAUGUCUGGUUCUUCCCAUUCCUUUCAAGAUAAUGUACUUCAAGAUUGUCUGCUAAAAUAUGCAGAGGUAUAAUUUCUUUUCCAAAGUAAGCACGUCCCUGGGAGCAUGCUAGGCUUUCAGAAAACCACAGAAACUAACCAUAUUUUGACCACUUUAUUGCAGUUUCUGUCUGUUGACUCUGAUGAGUUUAAAUCAGUUGCCAUUUCCGAGCUAUUAUAAAGGCUGUUGAUGAAAAUCUUCUGUGGCUACAAAGUGCUCACAGAUUUAUUCAAACCUACUGAAACUUCAUUCAUUUCUGCUCGCAAGACAGUUCCCAGACUUUUGCUAUGGAUAUGCAUGCUGUUUAAUGGCACAGGAAUUAGCAUGUCUGCUUGUUGGUACCGACGUGGUAAUGGUGGCAGUUGCUGACACAGGUCAUUAGAUGGAAAUAAAGGAUCUCAACUAAGUUAAUGGUGAAAAACAUCUGAAUUUAGUAGGAGCAGGUCUGAGGAUAUCAAAUGAACCUUUAACAUAUUGAGCUUCAGCAUUCUCAGGUUCUGGGUUGUGACUUGUUGGUGUGGGGAGAAUUUUUUAAAUUCUGUUUUUAUGUAUUUUUGUUUUAGAAAAUUGUCUGCUUUUUGGUGUAUGAGCUGUCUAAAUGACUUUGUGUUUGCUGGUCUCCAUUUAAGAUGUGCUUAUAGCAAGUGAACUGUAAACAGGAUUUGCGUAGUAGAAGGGAAAAUCUACUUAUGAUGACAUCCUUUUUCUGAAGCUCAGGCAGGCCAACUCCGCUCCUUCUGAGAGACACCUUUUUGAAUAAUAGAGAAUUUAAGUAGAGAUAAUACAAAAAUACUUAUUAAACUGCUAAACACUGGGCUGAAUGUCCCAUCUGAAAAUGACAGCUUAUUUUCUAGCUUGAAAAUAGUGUUUCUAUACUCAUUUUCACGUGAGUAGAACAUGACCUCCUUUGGUCAUAAUGAACUGUUUUUGUUUACAAUACAAGGUACUGUGGUAUCGGAGUGGUGCCAUGCAGAUACAUGAUGUGGGAUACAUAACGUGGCUUCGAGAAGAAAGACACUAGGGUGGUUUGUAUGAGGUUUAUUAGCAUUCACAAAGACAACCAGAUUUGUUUUGAUGAUUGUUUUGAUCACAAUUUGCUCUUCCUGAUUUUCCACUGUUCAAAAAUGACUGUGCUUAAGCUAGAGAUGUGCUGCUCUCACCAUUGUUUGCCAGAGUGGGAUUAAUAAUAGAAUAAUGUCAAGCCAGACAAACUUAAACUGACAAAGUAACUUACUUUUUUAAAGAGAGGUGGGCAUAGUGGGUUGCAUGGCUGCACGGCAUCACAAGGUUUGUAAGCCCAAAGGACUUUUUUAUUAUAGUCAGUGGGGGAUGUUCAGAAAAUGAGAAGUUGAAGAGCAAAAAUGUGAUUCUAGCUGAUUCUUGAUCUUGCUGGGGGAGGCUGUGCUUUGAUUUCUUUCAGGAAAGCACAGCGCACACCUAUGGUAUUAUAUAAAACAUUACAUAAUUAUGAGAAUAACACCCUGAAUUCUCUCCCUCCAGCUCUGGCCCAGCCCACCUCUAAUGAAGCAGCAAGUGUGUGGUGACUUUCACUCAGAUCUGCCUUUGUGGCUUGGCUUGCAAGCGUGUGAAUCUAUACUUGUUGCCCUUGGCAUGUAUUUUCUGGUGUUGCUCUUGGUUAUUUUGUGGAGAAAGACUAAUAAUGCUCCAUUAAAACAAGUUCACUAGUCAGGCCAGAUUGUUGUCUUUUCUUUCCUCCCACACUUGCAGCCUUAUUGUAUAUAAUAACACAGUUCAGGGCUUUCCUCUCUCUGCUCCUUGUCACUCCGAGGUAUUUAAAAGAGGAUUUAAACCAGCUAUUUUUUGUGCUUAAUCCUUGAUCCCUUCUGCCCCCCACCCAAGCUUGCUUAUUCUCUGGAAAUAACAACCUAAGUCCACAUUUUACAGCUCUAGUUUAUAGUAAUUUUGUCUUAU
Molecule: long non-coding RNA, 5393 nt
Organism: Grus americana (Whooping crane)
Lineage: Eukaryota; Metazoa; Chordata; Aves; Gruiformes; Gruidae
Exons: 10
Source: RefSeq, a predicted model, not a curated record